RNAcentral lists this ribosomal RNA (254 nucleotides) under uncultured bacterium. RNAcentral describes it as "partial 16S ribosomal RNA". It matches the Rfam family "Bacterial small subunit ribosomal RNA", at positions 524 to 776 of the family's 1533-position model. The record is from RNAcentral.
UACGGGGGGAGCAAGCGUUGUUCGGAUUUACUGGGCGUAAAGGGCGCGUAGGCGGUCAGCACAAGUCAGUUGUGAAAUCUCCGGGCUUAACUCGGAAAGGUCAACUGAUACUGUGCGACUAGAGUGCGGAAGGGGCAACUGGAAUUCUCGGUGUAGCGGUGAAAUGCGUAGAUAUCAUCAGGAAUACCGGAGGCGAAGGCGGCUCACUGGGACCUAACUGACGCUGAGGAACGAAAGCUAGGGGAGCAAACGGG